UGGCUACUGUAAGACGCUCUCUAUCAACCUGUCUAACAAGUUCUUACCAAUUCUUACCUUGCUCAACAGGAGGGAUUGGCUACCAACAAAUCCACAGCAAUAGACGAAGUGUAUCGGUGCCGCAGCAACAAAACCUAUCAAGCUGUAGAAUAUGUGGAGCUAUAGGUGGGCUGAAACAAGGAUCGAACUAGCACCACGUUAGUUAUAAAAAGCAAGUUGAAUAAACGCUCAACGGUGGUACUGUGCUGGUCCUAGCCUAGACCGUGCUAGAGACGCGAGCCUGGACACAAAGGGAAAACACAGCACACCACUAGAAACAAAAUGAGCAGCCCUACUGGAAACAAAAGGAACAACAAUCCCCUUUUUUUAUUUUUUCUAUUUUUUCUUUCUUUCUUUCUUUCUUUUUCUUUAUUUUUUUUCUCUUUUCUUUUUUUGGGGAACCUCAAAACCUGAUUAUAUAAACAAAAUAGUACAAAAUAUCACUUCACCACUCUCACUCUCUCACUAGAGUAAGGCUGAACCUCAAAAUUCAAUAUAUCUAGCACAAGUAUGAAGUGCUAUCUUUCCUUUUGGAUCACGUUGAUGGAAACACAGAAUAGACCAACAAGUGGCUGCACCUAUUAUCAAGAUCUACUCAAAUUCCAACCCACAAUAGAUUGGACGCAGUUGUGACUAGAUGGUGACAAGAACUCAAAACUCUAAAGGACUAAACUAAAACCAGCACUCGACACGACCGAAGCAAACACUCAUUCAACUAGCCCUAACUAAGUAGUACUAGCCAUGGCACAAAGGAUUUAUAGGAUUAUGGAAAACUAAUCUGCUAUAUUUUUUGGCUUUUUUUUGGACUAUAGGAAAAACAAACACGAAGAAUUGGAAAUCUCUCACCGAUAAACCUUGCUCUGAUUACCAACUGAUGUGAACCCACUAGGGUUUUCGCCUGAUCUUUCGAUGAGAGGCGCUGGAUAACUCGAUUAGUGAAUGGAGAUGACGUUCACGGCCCGACUACAGCCUUCUAAGGCCGCGCCUUAGCAACCGAUACACCGCCUCCAAUGGCUGUCACGAUCUUGUGGAGCACAACACCCGGCCACUAGGGCACUCGUCCUGCAAGCAAUCGAAGAACCAGCAAGAACAAGUAGAACAAGUACUAAAUUACUAGAUGUAAAUGAAGGUUUCAAACUCAAUCUCUAAUGAAGUGGGGUUUCGAAAACAAGAAGACGGG
Molecule: long non-coding RNA, 1219 nt
Filed under: Sorghum bicolor (sorghum)
Lineage: Eukaryota; Viridiplantae; Streptophyta; Magnoliopsida; Poales; Poaceae
Description: long non-coding RNA (SBIC_LNC018428)
Source: RNAcentral